RNAcentral lists this ribosomal RNA (328 nucleotides) under uncultured eukaryote. RNAcentral's name for it is "partial 18S ribosomal RNA". It matches the Rfam family "Eukaryotic small subunit ribosomal RNA", at positions 1470 to 1796 of the family's 1831-position model. The record is from RNAcentral.
CCCUUAGAUGUCCUGGGCCGCACGCGCGUUACACUGAUGCAUUCAACGAGCUUAUAACCUUGGCCGAGAGGCCUGGGCAAUCUUGUUAACGUGCAUCGUGAUAGGGAUAGAUUAUUGAAAUUAUUAAUCUUGAACGAGGAAUUCCUAGUAAACGCAGAUCAUCAAUCUGCAUUGAUUACGUCCCUGCCCUUUGUACACACCGCCCGUCGCACCUACCGAUUGGAUGGUCCGGUGAAGCCUCGGGAUUGUGCUUCUUGCCGCUUUAUUGUGGCGUGACCGCGAGAACUUGUCUAAACCUUAUCAUCUAGAGGAAGGUGAAGUCGUAACA